Molecule: unclassified non-coding RNA, 251 nt
Filed under: Hevea brasiliensis (rubber tree)
Lineage: Eukaryota; Viridiplantae; Streptophyta; Magnoliopsida; Malpighiales; Euphorbiaceae
Source: RNAcentral
GAUCACGGAGGAUGCACAGCAAAUCACCGGAGAUGGCAGCAAAACCCGGUAGAUUACCGGAGACGGCGGCAGAUCGCCGGAGAUGGCGGCAGAAAUCCGGCGGUAGAUCACCGGAGACAAGUGGUAGAUCGCCGGAGAUAGCGGUAGAAGCACCGCGGAUAGCCGAUCACCGGAGAUGGUGGAGAUCGCGGAAAAAGAGGAACGGAGAGGAAUAGGUACGCCGCCUCUCGGAAAAGAGGUAAAUGCGCUCG